AUUAACGCUGGCGGCGUGCAUAACACAUGCAAGUCGAACGAUGAAACUCAUUAGAUUUCUUCGGAAUGAAAAUGAAUGGAUUAGUGGCGAACGGGUGAGUAACGCGUGAGUAACCUGCCUUACACAAGGGGAUAGCCUCUGGAAACGGAGAAUAAUACCCUAUGAAACCAGACAAUCGCAUGAUAAUCUGGUCAAAAUGUUUAGUGGUGUAAGAUGGACUUGCGUCUGAUUAGCUAGUUGGUGAGAUAAAAGCUCACCAAGGCAACGAUCAGUAGCCGGCUUGAGAGAGUGUACGGCCACAUUGGGACUGAGACACGGCCCAGACUCCUACGGGAGGCAGCAGUGGGGAAUUUUGCACAAUGGGGGAAACCCUGAUGCAGCGACGCCGCGUGAUUUAGAAGGCCUUCGGGUUGUAAAAAUCUUUUGUAUAGGAAGAAAAUGACAGUACUAUACGAAUAAGGGCCGGCUAAUUACGUG
Molecule: ribosomal RNA, 477 nt
Filed under: uncultured bacterium
Lineage: Bacteria
Description: partial 16S ribosomal RNA
Rfam family: Bacterial small subunit ribosomal RNA
Source: RNAcentral